GCUGUUUUUUCUCUCUUGUUGAUUUGCAUUUCCGCUUCAUUAACUUGGGCACACAUCAAACUAUAUAGAUCAACUAUAUUAUGUGCCGCACCUCUGACAGUCUCUCUCCAUCUCGCUCUGGCCAUUAUCAACAACAUAUAUAUAUUUUUCCCCACAAUUUAUGCCACGAAGAACAUUUUCCAGCAACAACAGAAAGCAAUGGGGAAAUGGGAAAAUGCUUCACACUGUGCUGCAGUUUUCCGCGCAUAAAUUAAUGGAAACGAACGACGAUGAUCAUCAUGGGGUCUCAGGAGGGAAGGACGGUGCAAAGUGGAGUGGUUCUGACGGAAAGAAAGGGCUGGGAAAUGUAUGAUUAAACAUUAAACAAGUGGCAUAAAAAUGGAAAAAACCGCUGCGAAACUGCUGCAAGGUGCUCCAAUGAAAUGUGGGAGAAAAUCAACACGAUCCGGUGGGGGUCAGGUCAGUUCAGAGGUGCAGACAGAAGUAUGAUGUGUCUCUGGAACGAUAGCUUGAUUAAAGUAGAUUUGAAAAGUGCA
Long non-coding RNA from Drosophila pseudoobscura, 536 nucleotides. RefSeq lists it as uncharacterized. Lineage: Eukaryota; Metazoa; Arthropoda; Insecta; Diptera; Drosophilidae. The record is from RefSeq and is a predicted model, not a curated record. The transcript has 2 exons.